UACAGCCCAGUGGGGACGGACCUGCCUAGA
RNAcentral lists this non-coding RNA (30 nucleotides) under Homo sapiens (human). Lineage: Eukaryota; Metazoa; Chordata; Mammalia; Primates; Hominidae. The record is from RNAcentral.